UGCGUAGGUUGUGGUAUGUGUUGGAUGUGAAAUUCUGGAGCUUAACUCCGGCGCUGCGUCCAAAACUAUAUCACUAGAGUACUGUAGAGAUGAGCGGAAUUUCAGGUGUAGCGGUAAAAUGCGUAGAUAUCUGAAAGAACACCAACGGCGAAGGCAGCUCAUUGGGCAGUCACUGACACUGAUGCACGAAAGCGUGGGGAGCAAAAAGGAUUAGAUACCCUUGUAGUCCACGCUGUCAACGUUGUACACUUGGCCUUGGGGGGAUUCGACCCCCUCACGGGCCGCAGCUAACGCGUUAAGUGUACCGCCUGAGGACUACGGUCGCAAGACUAAA
This 334-nucleotide ribosomal RNA is filed under the name uncultured bacterium. RNAcentral describes it as "bacterial SSU rRNA". It matches the Rfam family "Bacterial small subunit ribosomal RNA", at positions 568 to 898 of the family's 1533-position model. The record is from RNAcentral.